Trichosporon asahii var. asahii CBS 8904 is the source of this 71-nucleotide transfer RNA. It matches the Rfam family "tRNA". Rfam says of the family: Transfer RNA (tRNA) molecules are approximately 80 nucleotides in length. Their secondary structure includes four short double-helical elements and three loops (D, anti-codon, and T loops). NCBI's taxonomy places the organism in Eukaryota, Fungi, Basidiomycota, Tremellomycetes, Trichosporonales, Trichosporonaceae. The record is from Rfam.
AAGGAUGUAGUAUAAUGGUAGUACAAUAGAUUCCAAAUCUGUUUGUGGUGGUUCGAUUCCAUUCAUCCUUG